This 4792-nucleotide long non-coding RNA is filed under the name Panax ginseng (ginseng). RNAcentral describes it as "long non-coding RNA (PGIN_LNC017967)". The record is from RNAcentral. Lineage: Eukaryota; Viridiplantae; Streptophyta; Magnoliopsida; Apiales; Araliaceae.
GAAGGAUUUGAAUAAUUUGUAUUACUGGCCUAAGGCUAAGGCUGCUUGCUUGCACAUGAAGUUAAGUACCUUUCUUAUCUCCUGCCCUUUAUUUUCCACCUAAGAACUCCAUUAUACUCUUUCUAUGUUAUAUAAAACUACCCUUAAUUUCCCCUAACCCAAAAACCCUCUUUCUUCAAUUUCAUCCCAUAAAUUUCCCAAACUCCCCCCACCGUACGUAUUACUAGCUGCUACACAAAAUGUGACUAAACUUGAUCUCCUCUAAAACUUUUAAGAAUUAGAUAGCUAGCUAGCUGGGGAGUCGCUAAAUCAAUAUUAAUUAAUUGUUUCGCCCAGUUCUGUCCAAUCGAUCCAUCGUGUCAUGGCGGUAGGUAGUAUUCGAAAGUUAGUGGUGGAGGUGGUGGAUGCCCGUAAUCUUUUGCCGAAAGAUGGGCAUGGAACGUCGAGUCCUUACGUGAUUCUUGAUUUCUAUGGUCAAAGAAGAAAGACAAGAAGCAUUAUCUGUGACCUAAAUCCGGUAUGGAAUGAGACCGUUUCUUUUAAUGUUGGGAAGCCAUCUAGUGUUUUCGGUGACAUGCUUGAGGUGGAUGUUUAUCACGAUAAAAACAUCGGUCCUACUACUAGAAAUAAUUUCCUCGGUAGAGUUCGCUUGAAUUCCCGCCAGUUUGUUAGGAGAGGCGAGGAGGCUUUGAUUUAUUAUACUCUGGAGAAAAAGAAUUUGUUUUCUUGGAUUCAAGGUGAAAUCGGUUUAAAGAUUUAUUUUACGGAUCAUGAGCCUUCUCCGCCACCAGCACCACCCCCUCCCCCUCCACCACAGCAGGAAACUAAGUCUGAUCCACCACCACCAAUUGCAGAGGGAGCACCAGAAGCUGCAAAUUCUGAUCCGCCACAACCGGAUGGUGGCAAUCCAAGUGAAGCUGCGCCUCCACCGCCGCCUGCUGACGCCGUACCGCCACCUCCACCGCUGUCUGCUGACGCCGUAGCUUCACCUCCAGCUGAAAACGGGCCGUCAGCUGCUAAUGCUGGGGCACCAACAACACCGCCACUUGCUGAAGCUGCACCAUCGCCGCCGGCGAAUGUCACUCCUGAAGCUGAGCCCCUAGUCCAAGGAGCUAACAAUCCAGUGGAAGCUGCUUCAACACAAGAGGCACAAUUGGAUCCUCAUCAAAUGAAGGCAUCUAUAGAAUCAGGAUCAAUACCAGAAGUCAAAGUCGGUAGUACAUACGGUCCACGACCAAUCUCACGCGCUGCAUCAGUCAGUAGCUUCAUAUCAGACGCAUCAGACAACAUUUCAAUCGAACGUCCCUCAUUCGACCUUGUGGAGAAAAUGCACUACCUCUUCAUUCGAGUUGUCAAAGCUCGAUCUCUCCCUACUCCCGGCAAUCCGGUGGUCAAGAUUAUUGUAUCAGGUUCCCAAGUCACAUCCAAACCCGCUCGUAUAACCAUGUUCUUCGAGUGGGAUCAAACUUUUGCAUUCAGCCGCGACGCACCAGAUUCCUCUUCCAUCCUAGAAGUGUCAGUGUGGGACUCGCUAAUUUCCAGCUCGACGUCUGACGUGGCAGGUCAUAGCUUCUUAGGUGGCAUAUGCUUCGAUGUGACUGAGAUCCCACUGCGGGACCCACCGGAUAGCCCGCUGGCUCCGCAAUGGUACAGACUUGAAGGAGGUGGCGCCCAUAAAGGCGAUCUCAUGCUUGCCACGUGGGUUGGGACACAAGCUGACGAGUCAUUCCCAGAAGCAUGGAAGACCGACACAGCCGGUAAUCCCAGUUCACGAUCUAAAGUCUACCAAUCACCUAAAUUGUGGUAUUUGAGAUCAACCGUGAUUGAGGCCCAAGACAUAUCCGGGUUAGCGCCGUCAAGAGAUUCAUCCUUCCAAGUUAAAGCUCAGUUGGGAUUUCAAGUACAAAAGACUAAGCUAUCUCCCACACGUAACGGAUCUCCGUCAUGGAAUGAAGACUUGAUGUUUGUAGCUGCUGAGCCAUUUAGUGACAGCCAACUAGUAUUCUUUCUAGUGGAAUACCGGGAACCUAAAGAACAGGUUAUCCUAGGGGUUGCUAGCAUACCACUCACGUCCAUAGAGCGCCGUGUUGACGACCGGAAUGUGGUAUCAAGAUGGUUCACCUUUGAAGAUCCAAAUCAAGACAAGAGAGUAUAUAAAGGUAGGGUCCACCUAAGGGUAUGUUUCGACGGUGGAUAUCACGUGAUGGAUGAAGCUGCUCACGUGUGUAGCGAUUAUCGUCCGACCGCGAAGCAGCUUUGGAAACCCCCUGUUGGGACAGUUGAGCUGGGGAUCAUUGGAUGCAAGAAUUUAUUACCUAUGAAGACCAUCAACAACAAGGGUUCUACUGACGCAUAUGCAGUGGCGAAGUAUGGUAACAAAUGGGUACGCACUCGCACGGUGUGUGAUACCCUGGACCCGAAAUGGAAUGAGCAGUACACGUGGAGGGUUUACGAUCCGUCCACAGUGUUGACGAUUGGUGUUUUUGACGGUUGGGAAGUAUUCGAAUCAGACGGCCAGAGAGUGUCCACGCGCCCUGAUUUUCGGAUUGGAAAGGUACGCAUACGAAUCUCCACCCUAGAGACUGGUAAGGUGUACAAAAAUAUGUUUCCAUUGCUUUCGUUAUCUCCUGCUGGAUUAAAGAAAAUGGGUGAAAUAGAGGUGGCCGUACGAUUCGCACGUGCGACUCCCACGCUAGAUAUUUUGCACUUGUACUCGAUGCCUCUAUUGCCCAUAAUGCACCACAUCAAGCCUAUUGGUGUGAUGCAACAAGAGAUGUUGAGAUCCACGGCUGUUAAGAUCGUGUGCGCACACUUGUCACGAUCUGAGCCACCCCUUCCACGCGAGGUCAUAACGUAUAUGCUGGAUGCCGAUUCGCACGCGUUCAGCAUGCGUAAAGUGCGUGCCAAUUGGUUCCGAAUCAUCAACGUGAUUGCGGGGGUGAUUGAUAUCAUAAAAUGGAUGGAGGAGACGCGUUGUUGGAGGAAUCCGACUGCUACGGUGUUGGUACAUGCAUUGUUGGUGAUGCUGGUGUGGUUCCCUGAUUUAAUUAUCCCCACCUUGGCAUUUUACAUGUUUGUAGUUGGGGUGUGGAAUUAUAGGUUAAGGUCACGGGAGCCACUGCCGCACUUUGAUCCCAAGAUCUCAUUGGCGGAUACGAUUGAUCGGGAUGAGCUGGAUGAAGAGUUUGAUGNNNNNNNNNNNNNNNNNNNNNNNNNNNNNNNNNNNNNNNNNNNNNNNNNNNNNNNNNNNNNNNNNNNNNNNNNNNNNNNNNNNNNNNNNNNNNNNNNNNNAGUUUGAUAUUUUUUUAUUAUUAUAAUGUUGAGAUAUUGGACUACAUUAAAUAUAUUAUUCAUUUGUUCCAUCUUUAAUGUAAUAGUCAAUAUUUUAGUUUUUUAAAUUGAUUAAAAAAUCAUAAUUAAUAGUCAUUAUUGAGAAGAAGUUUCACUAGCCUUAUUUGUGGAAUAGAACCAUAUAUGUGUGUAUAUAUAUAUAUAUACUUUUUAAUCUCUCUCUCCGGCCCUUGGUCCAUACAAAAGUAUGGUCAGUUUGAAAAAGUAGAAGAGAAUCUUCAUCAACUAAAGGAAGGGAUUAAUAUUAUCAAUAUGGUAAUGAUUUAAAAUCAUAUAUAGGGGGAAUCAAAUGUUAACAAUUAAUAUGGUACCUAUUUUUGUUCAAAUUCUAUCACUUAUGUUAGUAACUAUUUUUGGUUUUUGAAUUAUGAUUCAUCUUAUAUUUAUUUACAUAUUUUGCGCCUAUAAGUUUUACAAUGUAUAGUAUGAAUAUAAGUUUGAAUAUCACUGCGCGCAAUUUAAUUUAUACUUAUAAUGCGCGUCUCUUUCUUCUUAGCAAUACAAAGACAAGCACGUAUAUAUACAUACAUAUAAUAUAUACUGUAAAAGCAGUGCGAAAGAAAACGAAAAAAGUGAAAAAGUAGAAUCUAAAUGCUGGAAAAGGAAAAUAUUAUCUUAAGAAGCAAUAAGUAAAGCAAUAUUAUUAAUUAAUAUAUAAGAAAAAGAAGGAUUUGAAUAAUUUGUAUUACUGGCCUAAGGCUAAGGCUGCUUGCUUGCACAUGAAGUUAAGUACCUUUCUUAUCUCCUGCCCUUUAUUUUCCACCUAAGAACUCCAUUAUACUCUUUCUAUGUUAUAUAAAACUACCCUUAAUUUCCCCUAACCCAAAAACCCUCUUUCUUCAAUUUCAUCCCAUAAAUUUCCCAAACUCCCCCCACCGUACGUAUUACUAGCUGCUACACAAAAUGUGACUAAACUUGAUCUCCUCUAAAACUUUUAAGAAUUAGAUAGCUAGCUAGCUGGGGAGUCGCUAAAUCAAUAUUAAUUAAUUGUUUCGCCCAGUUCUGUCCAAUCGAUCCAUCGUGUCAUGGCGGUAGGUAGUAUUCGAAAGUUAGUGGUGGAGGUGGUGGAUGCCCGUAAUCUUUUGCCGAAAGAUGGGCAUGGAACGUCGAGUCCUUACGUGAUUCUUGAUUUCUAUGGUCAAAGAAGAAAGACAAGAAGCAUUAUCUGUGACCUAAAUCCGGUAUGGAAUGAGACCGUUUCUUUUAAUGUUGGGAAGCCAUCUAGUGUUUUCGGUGACAUGCUUGAGGUGGAUGUUUAUCACGAUAAAAACAUCGGUCCUACUACUAGAAAUAAUUUCCUCGGUAGAGUUCGCUUGAAUUCCCGCCAGUUUGUUAGGAGAGGCGAGGAGGCUUUGAUUUAUUAUACUCUGGAGAAAAAGAAUUUGUUUUCUUGGAUUCAAGGUGAAAUCGGUUUAAAGAUUUAUUUUACGGAUCAUGAGCC